AUCCUUUUGUGAUUCGUAAGCGUGAUGAUUGGGUUUUCGCACUAUUGUGUGAGGUGUGCCUCCCUCUAACCUUGUUACAGUGUUGGCACAUUGCUGUCUGAAG
Pan troglodytes (chimpanzee) is the source of this 103-nucleotide small nucleolar RNA. It matches the Rfam family "Small nucleolar RNA U13". The record is from Rfam. NCBI's taxonomy places the organism in Eukaryota, Metazoa, Chordata, Mammalia, Primates, Hominidae.